Fusarium torulosum is the source of this 133-nucleotide non-coding RNA. Lineage: Eukaryota; Fungi; Ascomycota; Sordariomycetes; Hypocreales; Nectriaceae. The record is from the annotation of a GenBank genome assembly.
GGCUAUGUGGCUCAGUGGUAGAGCGUUUCCUUUCGGUCCUGGCGGCGGCGGCACCAUCCUUACAGACGGCGGCGGCGGCACCAACCCUACAAACCACUGGAAAAGGUCCUCGGUUCGAUCCCGAGCAUGGCCA